GUCUUUUAAUUGAAGGCUGGAAUGAAUGGUUGGAUGAAAAAUAUACUUUCUUUAUUUUAUAAAAAGAACUUGAUUUUUUAGUUAAAAAGCUAAAAUUGUUUUAUAGGACGAGAAGACCCUAUAGAACUUUACUAUUUAUAAUAAAUAAUUUUUAUAUUUUAUUAAAAGAUUUUUUAUUAAAGAUAGUUGUGUUGGGGUGACAAAAAAAAUAUUAUAACUUUUUUUAUUUAUAUCAUUUAUAUAUGUGUUUUUGAUCCUUUUUUAUGGAUUAUAAGAUAAAGUUACCUUAGGGAUAACAGCGUUAUUUUUUUGGAGAGUUCAUAUCGAUAAAAAAGUUUGCGACCUCGAUGUUGGAUUAAAAUUAAUUAUAGGGGUAUAAUAUUAUAAAUUAGGUCUGUUCGACCUUUAAAUUUUUACA
Molecule: ribosomal RNA, 418 nt
Filed under: Eurystylus coelestialium
Lineage: Eukaryota; Metazoa; Arthropoda; Insecta; Hemiptera; Miridae
Description: partial 16S ribosomal RNA
Rfam family: Bacterial large subunit ribosomal RNA (bases 292-418)
Source: RNAcentral